Molecule: ribosomal RNA, 253 nt
Filed under: uncultured bacterium
Lineage: Bacteria
Description: partial 16S ribosomal RNA
Rfam family: Bacterial small subunit ribosomal RNA
Source: RNAcentral
UACAGAGGUCUCAAGCGUUGUUCGGAUUCGUUGGGCGUAAAGGGUGCGUAGGUGGCGCGCUAAGUCAGGUGUGAAAUUUCGGAGCUUAACUCCGAAACUGCAUUUGAUACUGGCGUGCUUGAGGACUGGAGAGGAGACUGGAAUUCAUGGUGUAGCAGUGAAAUGCGUAGAGAUCAUGAGGAAGACCAGUGGCGAAGGCGGGUCUCUGGACAGUUCCUGACACUGAGGCACGAAGGCCAGGGGAGCAAACGGG